Molecule: ribosomal RNA, 885 nt
Filed under: uncultured bacterium
Lineage: Bacteria
Description: bacterial SSU rRNA
Rfam family: Bacterial small subunit ribosomal RNA
Source: RNAcentral
GGAUUAGGCAUGCAAGUCGGACGGUAGGGCUUUAUCGUAAGAUAGAGUUUGAGAGUGGCGAACGGGUGAGUAACACGUAGGAAUCUACCCUUAAGACGGGGACAACCCAGGGAAACUUGGGCUAAUACCGGAUGAGAGUGCGAGAGAUUGCAUUUAAAAGGAUGGCGAAAGUUGUCGCUUAGGGAUGAGCCUGCGGUCUAUUAGUUAGUUGGUGAGGUAAGAGCUCACCAAGGCGAUGAUAGAUAGGCGGCCUUAACGGGUGGUCGCCCACACUGGGAUUGAGGUACGGCCCAGACUCCUACGGGAGGCAGCAGUCGAGAAUAGUCUACAAUGGCCGGAAGGCUGAUAGUGCGACGCCGCGUGAACGAGGGAGCCCUUCGGGGUGUAAAGUUCUUUUCUAUACGAGCAGUGCUAUAUAUAUGGAUAGUAUAUAUAGAGGGAUAGUAGUAUAGGAAUAAGCAACGGCUAACUCCGUGCCAGCAGCCGCGGUAACACGGGGGUUGCGAGCGUUGUCCGGAAUUACUAGGCGUAAAGGGCAGGUAGGCGGAUCUACGAGUUUUUUGUUAAAGGCUACGGCUCAACUGUAGUAGAGCAGGAGAUACUGUAGGUCUGGAAUGCGGUAGGGGAAGACAGAAUUCCUGGUGUAGCGGUGGAAUGCGCAGAGAUCAGGAGGAAUACCGAAGGCGAAGGCAGUCUUCUAAGCCGUUAUUGACGCUAAACUGCGAAGGUGUGGGUAUCAAACAGGAUUAGAUACCCUGGUAGUCCACACAGUAAACGAUAAUCACUAGGUGUCGGGUUCGAAGAGGAUUCGGUGCCGUAGCUAACGCGAUAAGUGAUUCGCCUGGGGAGUACGAUCGCAAGGUUGAAACUCAAAGGAAUUGACGG